UACGAAGGGGGCGAGCGUUGUUCGGAUUUACUGGGCGUAAAGGGCGCGUAGGCGGCGCGAGAAGUCGAGUGUGAAAGCCCCGGGCUCAACCUGGGAAUUGCGCUCGAGAGUCUAGUGCUUGAGUUCGGGAGAGGAGCGUGGAAUUCCCAGUGUAGAGGUGAAAUUCGUAGAUAUUGGGAAGAACACCGGUGGCGAAGGCGGCGCUCUGGACCGAGACUGACGCUGAGGCGCGAAAGCGUGGGGAGCAAACAGG
Molecule: ribosomal RNA, 253 nt
Filed under: uncultured bacterium
Lineage: Bacteria
Description: partial 16S ribosomal RNA
Rfam family: Bacterial small subunit ribosomal RNA
Source: RNAcentral